Molecule: ribosomal RNA, 210 nt
Filed under: uncultured bacterium
Lineage: Bacteria
Description: partial 16S ribosomal RNA
Rfam family: Bacterial small subunit ribosomal RNA
Source: RNAcentral
UACGGAGGGUGCGAGCGUUGUCCGGAAUCACUGGGCGUAAAGGGCGCGUAGGCGGCGUCGGUAGUCCGUGGUGAAAGCUCGUGGCUCAACUGCGAGUCGGCCAUGGAUACUCCGAGUGCUUGAGCACUGUAGAGGCAGGUGGAAUUCCGGGUGUAGCGGUGGAAUGCGUAGAGAUCCGGAAGAACACCGGUGGCGAAGGCGGCCUGCUGG